Molecule: ribosomal RNA, 445 nt
Filed under: uncultured bacterium
Lineage: Bacteria
Description: partial 16S ribosomal RNA
Rfam family: Bacterial small subunit ribosomal RNA
Source: RNAcentral
GUGAGGAAUAUUGGUCAAUGGGCGGGAGCCUGAACCAGCCAAGUCGCGUGAAGGAAGAAGGAUCUAUGGUUCGUAAACUUCUUUUGCAGGGGAAUAAAGUGCAGGACGUGUCCUGUUUUGUAUGUACCCUGAGAAUAAGGAUCGGCUAACUCCGUGCCAGCAGCCGCGGUAAUACGGAGGAUCCGAGCGUUAUCCGGAUUUAUUGGGUUUAAAGGGUGCGUAGGUGGUUUGAUAAGUCAGCGGUGAAAGUUUGCAGCUUAACUGUAAAAAUGCCGUUGCAACUGUCGGACUUGAGUGUAAAUGAGGUAGGAGGAAUGCGUGGUGUAGCGGUGAAAUGCAUAGAUAUCACGCAGAACUCCGAUUGCGAAGGCAGCUUACUAAGCUACAACUGACACUGAAGCACGAAAGCGUGGGGAUCAAACAGGAUUAGAAACCCUGGUAGUCC